CUGGGGAUCGGUAACGUACUAAUCUUAUUUUUUGUUUAUUAUUACCAGAUCUGCUCUAGGAACUCUUGCGUUUGAUUCAGAGAUUGAAAAGAUUGCGAAAGCUAAUCGCAAAGAAACAAAGCUAAAGAAAAAGCAGUCAGCGGUGGUUGGGACUUAAAGUAAUCCACCGCCAGGAAUCAGAAUCGACGACGAAGCAGAGUCUAGGGUUAACGAAAGCCCUACUCUAACUUUUGAAGGCGAAAAAUUAGAAGUUGAUUCCCCAAAAGAAGUGUUUAAUGCUAGGGUUGGCGUAAACCUUAAUUUAGCACCUCAACCUAUGGCUCAGACAAUUUGGCAACUGGCCGAAGCGCUGACAACUUUUGAAUUAAAGUCAGGCUUGAUCCAACUACUGCCAGCUUUUCGAGGGUUACAGAAUGACAAUCCCCACAAGCAUUUGAAAGAAUUCCAUAUGGUUUGCCUUAGUAUAAAAACCUCAGCGGGUAACUGAGGAUCAAAUUAAACUGUUCGCUUUCCCUUUUUCCUUAGUAGAUUCUGCUAGGGAAUGGUUAUUUUAUUUACCUCCUGGAUCUGUAACGACUUGGGCUGAAUUGUCUCAUUUGUUUCUUAACAGGUUUUUUUCAACGCCGCGUGCAGUCGAGUUAAGAAGAGAAAUUGUGGGAAUAAGGAAAAAAGAUGUAGAGUUUCUGUACGACUACUGGAAGCGAUUUAAGAAGUUGUGUGCAAGUUGCUCACAAUACGGUAUAACGGAACAGUCUUUGCUCCAGUACUUUUAUGAAGGCUUAAAACCCAUGGAGAUGAAUAUGGUAGAUACCGUGAGUGGAGGAGCGUUGGUCAACAUGACUCCACAACAAGCAAGAGACUUAAUCUCCACGAUGGCUACAAAUUCUCAGCAAUUCCGAGCCAACCCUGAACCCCCUAGAAGGGUUCACCAGCUAAGUAAUUCGACCUUAGAAGAUAAGGUUGAUAGAAUUGCUAAUAUUCUGAAUUCUCUUGUUACAGAAAAAGUAAAGAUUGCCCGAGUAUGUGGAAUAUGUGCUACCCCUGAACAUACAACUGAUGCAUGUCCCAGUUUGUAUGAUGAUAAUGUGGCUCAUUUAGAUACUGCGAAAAAUUUCCCUAGACCACCGCAAAUGCAAUACGACCCUUACGCUAAUACCUACAACCCAGGAUGGAGGGAUCACCCUAACUUAAGUUAUAGGGCCAACCCAUGACUUAACUAGUCAAACCAAAAUUGGUUUCCACAACAGCCUCGAGAUUCAGGUAAUUCUCUAGAAACUAUGGUCAAUAAAUUAGCAGCUAAUGUCUUUGAUUUUCAACGGCAAACUCUUAAUUUCCAAAGAGAGACAAAGGAUUUCCAACAAAAAAUUGAGGCAUCCAUAAGGGAGUUGACCAUAUCAAUCGAGAGAUUAAACUCGUAAGGGAAGCUGUCGUCACAAACAGAACCUAAUCCAAGACAACACGCAAAUGCAGUGACGUUGCAAAGUAGAAAGGUACUGGAACCAAUUCCUGGUAGAAAUCUUGGCCAAGAAAUCACUCAGGAAAAACCCGAAAAUGACGAACAAGUCCGAGCGAAACCCCCACUGCUGAAAAUCCAACCUCCAUUCCCAGGACGAUUAAACUAGUGUCGAAAAAGUAAAGAAGACAAAGAGAUCCUUGAAACAUUCAGAAAUGUCGAGAUCAAUCUACCACUGUUGGAUGCCAUCAGAAGAAUUCCACGGUACGCCAAGUUCCUCAAAGAGCUUUGCACCAAAAAACGAAAAUUAAUAGGUAAUGAAAAGGUAAGUGUUGGUGAGAAUGUAUCUGCAGUGCUACUACGAAUACUAAGAUUGACGUACGAAGCAGAACCCUCACGAUGGAGUUUGACGGAGAGAUCAUGAAGUUUAACAUUUAUGGAACUAUUAGUCACCCAAGUGAAGUCUUGGACGUAAACCGUGUCGACAUAAUUGACUCAUCAGUAGAAAAAACUUUUGAAUCAUCUUAUAGAGAUAAAUCUAAAAUGAUGUUUGAUGAUUUUGAAUCUGUUAAUAAAUUAUUGGCUCCUAUGGAUACUAAAAUUCUACCUUCUGUUGUGCAGGCACCAGAUCCAAAAUUAAAACCACUUUCCAAGCAUCUCAAAUUCACAUUUUUAGAGAAUGAUGAGACCAUUGCCGACUUAAAAGGGAUCAACCCCUUGGAGAAAAAUACAAAACUAAAGAAAGAGGCGCAAGGACGAUUAAACCCAAAUAUGGUGGACGUGAUAAAAAAAUGAGAAUUUCCAAGCCCAUACGAACGAAAGAAUUCAACUGGAACAGCCCCAAUACUAGUUGAUGCGUCAAGCUAACGACGUUAAACAAGCGCUUGUUGGG
Molecule: long non-coding RNA, 2345 nt
Filed under: Gossypium barbadense (sea-island cotton)
Lineage: Eukaryota; Viridiplantae; Streptophyta; Magnoliopsida; Malvales; Malvaceae
Description: long non-coding RNA (GBAR_LNC008877)
Source: RNAcentral